This 250-nucleotide long non-coding RNA is filed under the name Medicago truncatula (barrel medic). Its description in RNAcentral is "long non-coding RNA (MTRU_LNC006139)". Lineage: Eukaryota; Viridiplantae; Streptophyta; Magnoliopsida; Fabales; Fabaceae. The record is from RNAcentral.
UCCUUGUUAAUUAAAUUGAUCCAGAGUGCUCUGGUCCUAAGUUAACUGUUAAUAUUAUAUUUUUAUUCUCCAGAGUGCUCUGGUCCUAUGCUUUUAUUUUCAUUACUCCUUAGUUUAAUUUUCAUUUACUAUUCAAAAACAACAAAAACAUUCAAAUAUCAAAAAUCACAAAAACAUUUUCAUAACAAACCUUGAUUCUCAAAUCAAGUGAUCGUUCUUUUUAUUUUCUUUCUUAAUCAAAUUUCAAAUC